GACGAACGCUGGCGGCGUGCUUAACACAUGCAAGUCGAACGGAAAGGCCCUGCUUUUGUGGGGUGCUCGAGUGGCGAACGGGUGAGUAACACGUGAGUAACCUGCCCUUGACUUUGGGAUAACUUCAGGAAACUGGGGCUAAUACCGGAUAGGAGCUCCUGCUGCAUGGUGGGGGUUGGAAAGUUUCGGCGGUUGGGGAUGGACUCGCGGCUUAUCAGCUUGUUGGUGGGGUAGUGGCUUACCAAGGCUUUGACGGGUAGCCGGCCUGAGAGGGUGACCGGCCACAUUGGGACUGAGGUACGGCCCAGACUCAUACGGGAGGCAGCAGUGGGGAAUAUUGCGCAAUGGGCGGAAGCCUGAUGCAGCAACGCCGCGUGCGGGAUGACGGCCUUCGGGUUGUAAACCGCUUUCGCCUGUGACGAAGCGUGAGUGACGGUAAUGGGUAAAGAAGCACCGGCUAACUACGUG
This 468-nucleotide ribosomal RNA is filed under the name uncultured bacterium. Its description in RNAcentral is "partial 16S ribosomal RNA". It matches the Rfam family "Bacterial small subunit ribosomal RNA", at positions 28 to 507 of the family's 1533-position model. The record is from RNAcentral.